GAGAGAAGCCAUCGUAGUAUCAGUAUUGUAAUUCUUUUGUCAUGUUUUGUGGGAGCGAAGUCUUCGUAGUAUCAAUAUUAUAAUUCUUUUGUCAUGUUUUGUAGGAGAGAAGUCUUCUUAGUAUCAGUAUUAUAAUUCUUUUGUCAUGUUUUGUAGGAGAGAAGUCUUCGAAGUAUCAGUAUUGUAGUUCUUUUGUCGUUUUUUGUAGGAGAGAAGCCAUCGUAGUAUCAGUAUUGUAAUUCUUUUGUCAUGUUUUGUGGGAGCGAAGUCUUCGUAGUAUGAAUAUUAUAAUUCUUUUGUCAUGUUUUGUAGGAGAGAAGUCGUCGUAGUAUCAGUAUUAUAAUUCUUUUGUCAUGUUUUGUAGGAGAGAAGUCUUCGUAGUAUCAGUAUUGUAAUUCUUUUGUCAUGUUUUAUGGGAGAGAAGUCUCCUUAGUAUCAAUAUUGUAGUUCUUUUGUC
Molecule: long non-coding RNA, 457 nt
Filed under: Mytilus galloprovincialis (Mediterranean mussel)
Lineage: Eukaryota; Metazoa; Mollusca; Bivalvia; Mytilida; Mytilidae
Source: RNAcentral